UUGAACGCUGGCGGCAUGCCUUACACAUGCAAGUCGAGCGGCAGCGCGGGGGCAACCCUGGCGGCGAGCGGCGGACGGGUGAGUAAUACAUCGGAACGUGUCCUUUCGUGGGGGAUAACCAGUCGAAAGACUGGCUAAUACCGCAUGAGAUCUCACGAUGAAAGCGGGGGACCGCAAGGCCUCGCGCGAUUGGAGCGGCCGAUGUCGGAUUAGCUAGUUGGCGGGGUAAAAGCCCACCAAGGCGACGAUCCGUAGCUGGUUUGAGAGAACGACCAGCCACACUGGGACUGAGACACGGCCCAGACUCCUACGGGAGGCAGCAGUGGGGAAUUUUGGACAAUGGGCGCAAGCCUGAUCCAGCCAUGCCGCGUGUGUGAAGAAGGCCUUCGGGUUGUAAAGCACUUUCGGCCGGAACGAAAUCGCGCGGGUGAACAUCCCGCGUGGAUGACGGUACCGGAAGAAGAAGCACCGGCUAACUACGU
Molecule: ribosomal RNA, 482 nt
Filed under: uncultured bacterium
Lineage: Bacteria
Description: bacterial SSU rRNA
Rfam family: Bacterial small subunit ribosomal RNA
Source: RNAcentral